GACGAACGCUGGCGGCGUGCUUAACACAUGCAAGUCGAACGAUGACGACCGAGCUUGCUCGGUCUGAUUAGUGGCGAACGGGUGAGUAACACGUGAGCAACCUGCCCUUCACUCUGGGAUAACCUCGGGAAAUCGGGGCUAAUACCGGAUAUGAGCUCCUGUCGCAUGGCGGGUGUUGGAAAGUUUUUCGGUGAAGGAUGGGCUCGCGGCCUAUCAGUUUGUUGGUGAGGUAGUGGCUCACCAAGGCGAUGACGGGUAGCCGGCCUGAGAGGGCGACCGGCCACACUGGGACUGAGACACGGCCCAGACUCCUACGGGAGGCAGCAGAGGGGAAUAUUGCACAAUGGGCGAAAGCCUGAUGCAGCGACGCCGCGUGAGGGAUGACGGCCUUCGGGUUGUAAACCUCUUUCAGCAGGGAAGAAGCGAAAGUGACGGUACCUGCAGAAGAAGCGCCGGCUAACUACGUG
This 467-nucleotide ribosomal RNA is filed under the name uncultured bacterium. Its description in RNAcentral is "partial 16S ribosomal RNA". It matches the Rfam family "Bacterial small subunit ribosomal RNA", at positions 28 to 507 of the family's 1533-position model. The record is from RNAcentral.